UGAAAAACGGUGAAGGAAAGAAUGAUAUGUAGAUUUAUAGAGAGCUUAUGUUGGUGGAAAUUAAGUAAUCAAAGUAUUUGGAAUGGCUCUGGAGUUGUUUAAUCGAAUAUUUAGAUUAAAACGUUAGUUUCGUUAUAACUAUGAGUGUAUAAUUUUAUAAUUAUAAAAUAAGGUGGUACCACGGAUUAAUAAUUCGUCCUUAUA
RNAcentral lists this non-coding RNA (204 nucleotides) under Clostridium sp. RNAcentral describes it as "T-box sequence". It matches the Rfam family "T-box leader". From Rfam's summary of the family: Uncharged tRNA acts as the effector for transcription antitermination of genes in the T-box leader family. T-boxes are found upstream of many aminoacyl-tRNA synthetase genes and some amino acid biosynthetic genes usually in Gram-positive bacteria. The record is from RNAcentral. Lineage: Bacteria; Bacillati; Bacillota; Clostridia; Eubacteriales; Clostridiaceae.